GACGAACGCUGGCGGCGUGCCUAAUACAUGCAAGUAGAACGCUGAAGAGAGGAGCUUGCUCUUCUUGGAUGAGUUGCGAACGGGUGAGUAACGCGUAGGUAACCUGCCUGGUAGCGGGGGAUAACUAUUGGAAACGAUAGCUAAUACCGCAUAAAAUUGAUUAUUGCGUGAUAAUUAAUUGAAAGAUGCAACUGCAUCACUACCAGAUGGACCUGCGUUGUAUUAGCUAGUUGGUGAGGUAACGGCUCACCAAGGCGACGAUACAUAGCCGACCUGAGAGGGUGAUCGGCCACACUGGGACUGAGACACGGCCCAGACUCCUACGGGAGGCAGCAGUAGGGAAUCUUCGGCAAUGGGGGGAACCCUGACCGAGCAACGCCGCGUGAGUGAAGAAGGUUGUCGGAUCGUAAAGCUCUGUUGUAAGAGAAGAACGGGUGUGAGAGUGGAAAGUUCACACUGUGACGGUAUCUUACCAGAAAGGGACGGCUAACUACGUG
This 497-nucleotide ribosomal RNA is filed under the name uncultured bacterium. Its description in RNAcentral is "partial 16S ribosomal RNA". It matches the Rfam family "Bacterial small subunit ribosomal RNA", at positions 28 to 507 of the family's 1533-position model. The record is from RNAcentral.